UACGUAGGGUGCGAGCGUUAAUCGGAAUUACUGGGCGUAAAGCGUGCGCAGGCGGUUCGACAAGUCCGAUGUGAAAGCCCCGGGCUCAACCUGGGAAUGGCAUUGGAAACUGGCGAGCUUGAGUGUGGCAGAGGGGGGUGGAAUUCCGCGUGUAGCAGUGAAAUGCGUAGAGAUGCGGAGGAACACCGAUGGCGAAGGCAGCCCCCUGGGCUGACACUGACGCUCAGGCACGAAAGCGUGGGUAGCAAACAGG
Molecule: ribosomal RNA, 253 nt
Filed under: uncultured bacterium
Lineage: Bacteria
Description: partial 16S ribosomal RNA
Rfam family: Bacterial small subunit ribosomal RNA
Source: RNAcentral